UGCUGCUGGAUCAUUACCU
Molecule: ribosomal RNA, 19 nt
Filed under: Hemicriconemoides strictathecatus
Lineage: Eukaryota; Metazoa; Nematoda; Chromadorea; Rhabditida; Criconematidae
Also listed under: 1 other name
Description: partial 18S ribosomal RNA
Source: RNAcentral